RNAcentral lists this ribosomal RNA (253 nucleotides) under uncultured bacterium. Its description in RNAcentral is "partial 16S ribosomal RNA". It matches the Rfam family "Bacterial small subunit ribosomal RNA", at positions 524 to 776 of the family's 1533-position model. The record is from RNAcentral.
UACGUAGGGUCCGAGCGUUGUCCGGAAUUAUUGGGCGUAAAGAGCUCGUAGGCGGUUUGUCGCGUCUGCCGUGAAAUCCCGAGGCUCAACCUCGGGUCUGCAGUGGGUACGGGCAGACUGGAGUGCGGUAGGGGAGAAUGGAAUUCCUGGUGUAGCGGUGGAAUGCGCAGGUAUCAGGAGGAACACCGAUGGCGAAGGCAGUUCUCUGGGCCGUAACUGACGCUGAGGAGCGAAAGCGUGGGGAGCGAACAGG